UACGAAGGGGGCUAGCGUUGUUCGGAAUUACUGGGCGUAAAGCGUGCGCAGGCGGUUCGUUAAGUUCGUUGUGAAAGCCCCGGGCUCAACCUGGGAACUGCAAUGGAAACUGGCGGGCUUGAGUGUGGCAGAGGGGGGUGGAAUUCCGCGUGUAGCAGUGAAAUGCGUAGAGAUGCGGAGGAACACCGAUGGCGAAGGCAGCCCCCUGGGCCAACACUGACGCUCAGGCACGAAAGCGUGGGGAGCGAUCCGG
RNAcentral lists this ribosomal RNA (253 nucleotides) under uncultured bacterium. RNAcentral's name for it is "partial 16S ribosomal RNA". It matches the Rfam family "Bacterial small subunit ribosomal RNA", at positions 524 to 776 of the family's 1533-position model. The record is from RNAcentral.